This 1323-nucleotide ribosomal RNA is filed under the name metagenome. RNAcentral's name for it is "bacterial LSU rRNA". It matches the Rfam family "Bacterial large subunit ribosomal RNA", at positions 1578 to 2925 of the family's 2925-position model. The record is from RNAcentral.
AUUAGUAGAGAAGCGUGUGAGCCAGCUGCCAAGAAAAGCCGCUAUUGCUUCAUAAGUACCCGUACCGUAAACCGACACAGGUGGAUGAGGAGAGAAUCCUAAGGCCGGCGGGAGAAGUGUUGUUAAGGAACUCGGCAAAAUGACUCCGUAACUUCGGGAGAAGGAGUGCCACAGAGAUGUGGCCGCAGAGAAAUGGCCCAAGCAACUGUUUAGCAAAAACACAGGUCUAUGCAAAACCGAAAGGUGAGGUAUAUGGGCUGACGCCUGCCCGGUGCUGGAAGGUUAAGAGGAGAGGUUAGAGCAAUCGAAGCUUUGAAUUUAAGCCCCAGUAAACGGCGGCCGUAACUAUAACGGUCCUAAGGUAGCGAAAUUCCUUGUCGGGUAAGUUCCGACCCGCACGAAAGGCGUAAUGAUUUGGGCACUGUCUCAACAACACACCCGGUGAAAUUGAAAUACCAGUGAAGAUGCUGGUUACCUGCGCCAGGACGGAAAGACCCCAUGGAGCUUUACUCCAGUUUGAUACUGGGAUUCGGUACUGUCUGUACAGGAUAGGUGGGAGGCUAGGAAAUGGUGACGCCAGUUGCCAUGGAGCCAACCUUGGGAUACCACCCUUACAGUACUGGGUUUCUAACCUGCAGCCGUGACCCGGCUGGGGGACAAUGUCUGACGGGGAGUUUGACUGGGCGGUCGCCUCCGAAAGAGUAUCGGAGGCGCUCAAAGGUUCCCUCAGAACGGUUGGAAACCGUUCGAAGAGUGCAAAGGCAGAAGGGAGCUUGACUGCGACACCGACGGGUGGAGCAGAUACGAAAGUAGGACUUAGUGAUCCGGUGGUAUAAAGUGGGAUUGCCAUCGCUCAACGGAUAAAAGCUACCCUGGGGAUAACAGGCUUAUCACUCCCAAGAGUUCACAUCGACGGAGUGGUUUGGCACCUCGAUGUCGGCUCAUCGCAUCCUGGAGCUGUAGCAGGUUCCAAGGGUUGGGCUGUUCGCCCAUUAAAGCGGUACGCGAGCUGGGUUCAGAACGUCGUGAGACAGUUCGGUCCCUAUCCGGCGUGGGCGUAGGAUAUUUGAGAGGAGCUGUCCUUAGUACGAGAGGACCGGGAUGGACAAACCUCUGGUGUAUCUGUUGUUUUACCAAAGGCAUGGCAGAGUAGCCAAGUUUGGCAGGGAUAAACGCUGAAGGCAUCUAAGCGUGAAGCCCCCCUCAAGAUAAGAUAUCCCAUCUUCGGAGUAAGACCCCUUGAAGACUACAAGGUUGAUAGGCUUCAGGUGUAAGUGUGGUAACGCACUCAGCUGAGAAGUACUAAUAGGUCGAGGACUUAUC